This 71-nucleotide transfer RNA is filed under the name Marmota monax (woodchuck). RNAcentral describes it as "tRNA.Ala". It matches the Rfam family "tRNA". From Rfam's summary of the family: Transfer RNA (tRNA) molecules are approximately 80 nucleotides in length. Their secondary structure includes four short double-helical elements and three loops (D, anti-codon, and T loops). Lineage: Eukaryota; Metazoa; Chordata; Mammalia; Rodentia; Sciuridae. The record is from RNAcentral.
GGGGUUGUGGCUCAGUGGCAGAGUGUUUGCCUAGCAUGCGUGAGGCACUGAGUUCAAUCCUCAGCACCACA